This is a non-coding RNA of Glonium stellatum, 83 nucleotides long. The record is from the annotation of a GenBank genome assembly. NCBI's taxonomy places the organism in Eukaryota, Fungi, Ascomycota, Dothideomycetes, Gloniales, Gloniaceae.
GGUUGUGUAGUGUAGCGGUCAUCACUCCGGAUUCUGAUAAUCAGACACUUCCGGCAACCCCGGUUCGAAUCCGGGCACGACCU